GGGCUGGUAACUCAGUGGUAGAGUGUAGGACUGCAGUUUCCCCAUGAAUUCAUUUCCCGAAGUCACCGGUUCGACUCCGGUUCAGCCCU
Decorospora gaudefroyi is the source of this 89-nucleotide non-coding RNA. The record is from the annotation of a GenBank genome assembly. Lineage: Eukaryota; Fungi; Ascomycota; Dothideomycetes; Pleosporales; Pleosporaceae.